CCAAUAGCGUAUAUUUGGUUUCUUGCGGUAUCAGGACUGUUACUUUGAUUUCAUUAGUGUGUUUAAAGCAGGCUCUCGCUUGAAUACAUUAGUAUGGAAUAAUGAAAUAGGACGUUUGAUUCUAUUUUGUUGGUUUCUAGGAUCGACGUAAUGAUUAAUAGGGAUAGUUGGGGGCAUUAGUAUUCAAUUGUCAGAGGUGAAAUUCUUGGAUUUAUUGAAGACUAACUACUGCGAAAGCAUUUGCCAAGGAUGUUUUCAUUAAUCAAGAACGAAAGUUAGGGGAUCGAAGACGAUCAGAUACCGUCGUAGUCUUAACCAUAAACUAUGCCGACUAGGGAUCGGAUGAUGUUAAUUUUUUAAUGACUCAUUCGGCGCCUUACG
RNAcentral lists this ribosomal RNA (381 nucleotides) under uncultured Glomeromycotina. RNAcentral describes it as "partial small subunit ribosomal RNA". It matches the Rfam family "Eukaryotic small subunit ribosomal RNA", at positions 713 to 1092 of the family's 1831-position model. Lineage: Eukaryota; Fungi; Glomeromycota. The record is from RNAcentral.